GAAUAUAAUCUUAUGGGGCAUUAUUGUAUUUUAUGUAGCCGCUAGCUAGCUAGUCAGAAAAUACUUUUUUGAACAUUUCGCAGGAUAUGUUGUAGACGGCAAAAGUAGCUGUGGGUGCUACAGUAGCGCCUGAAUCAGGACGUUGACAUGUAAAAAAAAAUAUAUAUAUCCAUUCUGGGAACAAGUAAAUUCAUAGCCAACUCAACCCUCUUCAGUCCAGGCUAAAUUAACCACGCGUUUACCUUCCUUCAUGCCACAUGACACACACCUAGCCAGCUAAGAUUACAUUUUGCCAUUAGUUUACACAGUGGCAAGAUGUAGUAGGUACCAAAUAAUAGAUUUCAUUUCACUAACAAUUUGUUUUUGCACAGGAUUGUGGCGAUUGCAUACUGCUACUGCCUUAAAUGGAACCACUUAAUUUCCAUCCAGGGAAGGGGGACCGAGAUUACUAGGUUUUAAUUAUAUUUUGCACGAUAUACCCCUCCCCACGCACACAUACCUGAACACUUGAAAAGCAGUUGAAACAGAACAGAGAUAGUGGUUCGCAUUUUUCUACUAUGGUUAUACUCUGUCAUCACACGUUGACUUGCUCCCAGACAAUGAGACAGGUUGGCACAACACCACCGGUGUAAUGCACUGUAUCAAAUUACAGACCAUGACAAAAGGUGCAGGAACUCCACAAUACUUCUGAGCUAAUAUUCUGCUGUGCAUCACAACAAGUAGAUCAUUUGAUGUGUCAAUACUCAGUGCCGAUCAGGCAGAUCUUCAAGCAGUGUGCCCCAGCAGACGUCGCAGUUGUGCCCUGGUUAACACCCCCUCACUGUGUGCCAACAAAGCUGUUUGCCAUAUUCAGGAGCUGAAGAGGCAACUGGAGAACUGGUGUCAACAGGUAAGAUGCUGAUGUCAUAGUGUGAUCAUGCAAGAGAUAGAGAACUAUGGGGCAAAUAUCAGUGAUAUUAACAAAUGAUCCAAUCUAUCUAGAAAUACUGUAAGGUUGGAUGCAUUUCUGUAAUUUGUCCUGUCCCCUCUAUCAGUCAGGAAAUGUUCAGCAUCAGAUGUCUCAUGAAAAACAGAAAAAUAGCAAAACUUUUAGAUUUCAUUCCAGUGAAUCCAAGUCUUCAAUUAUGUCUCCUGAGUUAUACAUUGAAGACAUUGGGCUAAGUGCAAGAACCGAAAGAAAAGGUGGCCUGUUGUCUCCGCUGUGUAAGGAAACUACAAAGUUGGUGUAUCUGAUUGAACAUCUAGAAGCUGAUCGCCAGGAUGCAGAGGAAGCACUACAAACAGAGAAGAAGAGGAGGUUGUAG
Molecule: long non-coding RNA, 1304 nt
Filed under: Oncorhynchus kisutch (coho salmon)
Lineage: Eukaryota; Metazoa; Chordata; Actinopteri; Salmoniformes; Salmonidae
Description: lncRNA (ENSOKIG00005016431.1)
Source: RNAcentral